RNAcentral lists this ribosomal RNA (450 nucleotides) under Burkholderia sp. MRhNF3(17). RNAcentral describes it as "bacterial SSU rRNA". It matches the Rfam family "Bacterial small subunit ribosomal RNA", at positions 50 to 497 of the family's 1533-position model. Lineage: Bacteria; Pseudomonadati; Pseudomonadota; Betaproteobacteria; Burkholderiales; Burkholderiaceae. The record is from RNAcentral.
UUAACAUGCAGUCGACGGCAGCACGGGGGUAACCCUGGUGGCGAGUGGCGAACGGGUGAGUAAUACAUCGGAACGUGUCCUGUAGUGGGGGAUAGCCCGGCGAAAGCCGGAUUAAUACCGCAUACGCUCUACGGAGGAAAGGGGGGGAUCUUAGGACCUCUCGCUACAGGGGCGGCCGAUGGCAGAUUAGCUAGUUGGUGGGGUAAAGGCCUACCAAGGCGACGAUCUGUAGCUGGUCUGAGAGGACGACCAGCCACACUGGGACUGAGACACGGCCCAGACUCCUACGGGAGGCAGCAGUGGGGAAUUUUGGACAAUGGGGGAAACCCUGAUCCAGCAAUGCCGCGUGUGUGAAGAAGGCCUUCGGGUUGUAAAGCACUUUUGUCCGGAAAGAAAACUUCUGCCCUAAUACGGCGGGAGGAUGACGGUACCGGAAGAAUAAGCACCGGC